CAAAAGGUAGUUUAAAUAAAAUAUUAAUUUUGGAGAUUAAUGAUAAAAUUUUUUUUCUUUUGA
Molecule: transfer RNA, 63 nt
Filed under: Decimiana sp.
Lineage: Eukaryota; Metazoa; Arthropoda; Insecta; Mantodea; Acanthopidae
Description: tRNA-Pro
Source: RNAcentral